UGCGUAGGCGGCUUCUUAAGUCGGAUGUGAAAUCCCUGAGCUUAACUUAGGAAUUGCAUCCGAUACUGGGAAGCUAGAGUAUGGGAGAGGAUGGUAGAAUUCCAGGUGUAGCGGUGAAAUGCGUAGAGAUCUGGAGGAAUACCGAUGGCGAAGGCAGCCAUCUGGCCUAAUACUGACGCUGAGGUACGAAAGCAGUGGGAGCAACA
RNAcentral lists this ribosomal RNA (206 nucleotides) under uncultured bacterium. RNAcentral's name for it is "partial 16S ribosomal RNA". It matches the Rfam family "Bacterial small subunit ribosomal RNA", at positions 568 to 773 of the family's 1533-position model. The record is from RNAcentral.